UACGGGGGGGGCAAGCGUUGUUCGGAAUUACUGGGCGUAAAGGGCGCGUAGGCGGCCUGCUAAGUCGGAUGUGAAAUCCCUCGGCUCAACCGAGGAACUGCAUCCGAUACUGGCGGGCUUGAAUCCGGGAGAGGGAUGUGGAAUUCCAGGUGUAGCGGUGAAAUGCGUAGAUAUCGUAAGGAAGACCAGUGGAGAAGGCGAAUCUCUGGACAGUUACUGACACUGAGGCACGAAGGCCAGGGGAGCAAACGGG
Molecule: ribosomal RNA, 253 nt
Filed under: uncultured bacterium
Lineage: Bacteria
Description: partial 16S ribosomal RNA
Rfam family: Bacterial small subunit ribosomal RNA
Source: RNAcentral